UGACUGGAGUUGUAGCUGGCCUUUAAAAACGGCAUGUGCACGCUCCUUUCACUAAUCCACACACACCUGUGCACCUUCGCGGGGGUCUCUUUGUUAAACUCGAAGAGGCUCGCGUCCCUUUACACACCCUUUGUAUGUCUUAAGAAUGUCUACUCGAUGUAAUAAAACGCAUCUAAUACAACUUUCAACAACGGAUCUCUUGGCUCUCGCAUCGAUGAAGAACGCAGCGAAAUGCGAUAAGUAAUGUGAAUUGCAGAAUUCAGUGAAUCAUCGAAUCUUUGAACGCACCUUGCGCCCUUUGGUAUUCCGAAGGGCACACCUGUUUGAGUGUCGUGAAAUUCUCAACCCUCUUCACUUUUGUGAACGUAGUGGAUUGGACUUGGAGGCUUUGCCGGGCUUCACCGCUCGGCUCCUCUCAAAUGCAUUAGUGCGUCUUGUUGCGACGUGCGCCUCGGUGUGAUAAUUAUCUACGCUGUGGUGUGCUUGCUUCUGUGGAGACGCGCUUUCUAACCGUCCGAAAGGACAGCUUUCAUCGAACUUUGACCUCAAAUCAGGUGGGACUACCCGCUGAACUUAAGCAUAUCAAUAAGCGGAGGAAAAAGAAAAUUG
RNAcentral lists this ribosomal RNA (609 nucleotides) under Stereum gausapatum. RNAcentral's name for it is "eukaryotic LSU rRNA". The stretch from base 180 to 333 matches the Rfam family "5.8S ribosomal RNA". The record is from RNAcentral. Lineage: Eukaryota; Fungi; Basidiomycota; Agaricomycetes; Russulales; Stereaceae.